RNAcentral lists this ribosomal RNA (894 nucleotides) under Basidiobolus sp. RNAcentral's name for it is "partial large subunit ribosomal RNA". It matches the Rfam family "Eukaryotic large subunit ribosomal RNA", at positions 98 to 838 of the family's 3401-position model. The record is from RNAcentral. Lineage: Eukaryota; Fungi; Basidiobolomycota; Basidiobolomycetes; Basidiobolales; Basidiobolaceae.
GCGGGAAGAGCUCAAAUUUAAAAUCUGCAAGGUUCAACCUUGCCGAAUUGUAGUUUGAAGAAGUGUUUUCCGCGGCGGCUGCAGUACAAAUCCUUUGGAACAGGGUAUCAGAGAGGGUGAGAAUCCCGUCUUUGACUGCAGACUAGUUGCACUGUGAUACACUUUCUAAGAGUCGAGUUGUUUGGGAAUGCAGCUCAAAAUGGGUGGUAAAUUUCAUCUAAAGCUAAAUAUUGGCAAGAGACCGAUAGCGAACAAGUACCGUGAGGGAAAGAUGAAAAGAACUUUGAAAAGAGAGUUAAAUAGUACGUGAAAUUGUUAAAAGGGAAACGCUUGAAGUCAGUGUUGCCGGCUGAAAAUCAGCUUCGUGCGGAUGGCUUGCUGCGGUGGAGGGAGUGUCAAAACCCCUUGCCGUAGUACAGCUAGCCGGACGGAGUGCACUUUUCAGUCGACAGGUCAACAUCAAUUUCAGCCGGUGGAAAAAAGCCAGUGGAAUGUAGGUUGGAGCAAUCCGACUGUUAUAGCCACAGGUGUAUACACCGGCGGGGAUUGAGGACAGCAGUGCAGGCCACUAUGGCGGAAGCGCCGCACUUUUCUCCGGGGGGCACGUCAAGACAGCAUGCUGACUUGGUGUGUACACUCUUGGGAACGGGGCGGAUGUACUUCUCCUGCACUAAGGAUGUUGACGAAAUGGCUUUAAACGACCCGUCUUGAAACACGGACCAAGGAGUCUAACAAAUAUGCGAGUAUUUGGGUGGCAAACCCAUAUGCGCAAUGAAAGUGAAUGUAGGUGGGAUCCCCUUCGCGGGGGAGCACCAUCGACCGAUCUGGAUUUUUUAAAGAUAGAUUUGAGUAAGAGCAUAUCUGUUGGGACCCGAAAGAUGGUGAACUAUGCCU